GACGAACGCUGGCGGCGUGCCUAAUACAUGCAAGUCGAACGAGAGCGACCGGUGCUUGCACUGGUCAAUCUAGUGGCGAACGGGUGAGUAACACGUGGGUAACCUGCCCAUCAGAGGGGGAUAACAUCCGGAAACGGAUGCUAAAACCGCAUAGGUCUUCGAGCCGCAUGGCUUGAAGAGGAAAAGAGGCGCAAGCUUCUGCUGAUGGAUGGACCCGCGGUGCAUUAGCUAGUUGGUGAGGUAACGGCUCACCAAGGCCGUGAUGCAUAGCCGACCUGAGAGGGUGAUCGGCCACAUUGGGACUGAGACACGGCCCAAACUCCUACGGGAGGCAGCAGUAGGGAAUCCUCCGCAAUGGACGCAAGUCUGACGGAGCAACGCCGCGUGAGUGAAGAAGGUUUUCGGAUCGUAAAACUCUGUUGUUAGAGAAGAACAAGUGCUAGAGUAACUGUUAGCGCCUUGACGGUAUCUAACCAGAAAGCCACGGCUAACUACGUG
This 498-nucleotide ribosomal RNA is filed under the name uncultured bacterium. Its description in RNAcentral is "partial 16S ribosomal RNA". It matches the Rfam family "Bacterial small subunit ribosomal RNA", at positions 28 to 507 of the family's 1533-position model. The record is from RNAcentral.